This 1376-nucleotide ribosomal RNA is filed under the name uncultured bacterium. Its description in RNAcentral is "bacterial SSU rRNA". It matches the Rfam family "Bacterial small subunit ribosomal RNA". The record is from RNAcentral.
AGAGUUUGAUUCUGGCUCAGGACGAACGCUGGCGGCGCGCCUAACACAUGCAAGUCGAACGAGCGAGAGAGAGCUUGCUUUCUCGAGCGAGUGGCGAACGGGUGAGUAACGCGUGAGGAACCUGCCUCAAAGAGGGGGACAACAGUUGGAAACGACUGCUAAUACCGCAUAAGCCCACGGGUCGGCAUCGACCAGAGGGAAAAGGAGCAAUCCGCUUUGAGAUGGCCUCGCGUCCGAUUAGCUAGUUGGUGAGGUAAUGGCCCACCAAGGCAACGAUCGGUAGCCGGACUGAGAGGUUGAACGGCCACAUUGGGACUGAGACACGGCCCAGACUCCUACGGGAGGCAGCAGUGGGGAAUAUUGCACAAUGGGGGAAACCCUGAUGCAGCGACGCCGCGUGGAGGAAGAAGGUCUUCGGAUUGUAAACUCCUGUUGUUGAGGAAGAUAAUGACGGUACUCAACAAGGAAGUGACGGCUAACUACGUGCCAGCAGCCGCGGUAAAACGUAGGUCACAAGCGUUGUCCGGAAUUACUGGGUGUAAAGGGAGCGCAGGCGGGAGGACAAGUUGGAAGUGAAAUCUAUGGGCUCAACCCAUAAACUGCUUUCAAAACUGUUUUUCUUGAGUAGUGCAGAGGUAGGCGGAAUUCCCGGUGUAGCGGUGGAAUGCGUAGAUAUCGGGAGGAACACCAGUGGCGAAGGCGGCCUACUGGGCACCAACUGACGCUGAGGCUCGAAAGUGUGGGUAGCAAACAGGAUUAGAUACCCUGGUAGUCCACACCGUAAACGAUGAUUACUAGGUGUUGGAGGAGUGACCCCCUCAGUGCCGCAGUUAACACAAUAAGUAAUCCACCUGGGGAGUACGACCGCAAGGUUGAAACUCAAAGGAAUUGACGGGGGCCCGCACAAGCAGUGGAGUAUGUGGUUUAAUUCGACGCAACGCGAAGAACCUUACCAAGUCUUGACAUCCUGCGACGAUGCUGGAAACAGUAUUUUCCUUCGGGACGCAGAGACAGGUGGUGCAUGGUUGUCGUCAGCUCGUGUCGUGAGAUGUUGGGUUAAGUCCCGCAACGAGCGCAACCCUUACUGUCAGUUACUACGCAAGAGGACUCUGGCAGGACUGCCGUUGACAAAACGGAGGAAGGUGGGGAGGACGUCAAAUCAUCAUGCCCUUUAUGACUUGGGCUACACACGUACUACAAUGGCGUUAAACAAAGAGAAGCAAGACCGCGAGGUGGAGCAAAACUCAGAAACAACGUCCCAGUUCGGACUGCAGGCUGCAACUCGCCUGCACGAAGUCGGAAUUGCUAGUAAUCGUGGAUCAGCAUGCCACGGUGAAUAAAAGGCCGGGCCUUGCACUCUCCGCCCGUCAAGGGCC